Molecule: long non-coding RNA, 1201 nt
Filed under: Panax ginseng (ginseng)
Lineage: Eukaryota; Viridiplantae; Streptophyta; Magnoliopsida; Apiales; Araliaceae
Description: long non-coding RNA (PGIN_LNC018733)
Source: RNAcentral
UAAUGGGAAGGUUUGAAGCAUCGGGCAAUAAUGGGAACCGAAAUAUACGCGAGAAGGACAAGCGAAUGACGAGGAUCCUGAAGUUUUUAAGCACUAGGGGCAAUUUGGUAAAACUCCCCUUGUCCCUAUACUGAAACGGUGAACCUUAAAAAUACUUGCAAUUUCUCUCCCCUAUAAAUACCAAUACACUCCAGCUCGUUCCUUUCGCACUUGUCAAACACAGAGAGAAAUAGAGAAAAAAGAGUCAGUCAAUCAGUCUAAUACUGCAUACAAAAUGAGGCCAACAAGCACAACCAGCGCCACCGCCACCGCCGGAAUCAACAAAUGGAAUUCUCCGAUGCCUUACUUAUUUGCCAGCUUAGCAUUAAUGUUGGGGCUUAUCGCUUUAGCUUUGAUAAUCCUAGCUUGCUCUUACAGGAAUUCAUCAUCAGAUUGUUCAAAUUCAUCACCAGCUGAUGCCGGAGAAAAACCGGCCAAGCCGGAAAUGGAGCCAAAGAUCUUGGUAAUCAUGGCCGGAGAUGAGAAUCCCAGCUACCUAGCCACGCCGGUCGCGGCGAACUGAAGAAGUCUAAGCUAUUAAUUAUCUUUCCUUUUUAGGUAUAUUUUUUAUUUUUCUUGGCCCAACAAAAUUAGCUUAGCCUUAAAUAUAGUAUCUAGCUAGCUAGCAUUUCCUUGGAAAACACAUCUUCUAGCUUAGGUAAUUAGACUUUCGGGAGUAUGUGAAUUGAUGAGCUUAGAAACUAAUAUGUCAUUUAAUAAAUGACAAUUUUUGGUUUGAAUUUAAUAAAUAGCUAUAUUUAUUUAUUUAUGAAUCAAAUUUUUUUUGCGUGAUUAAAUCAAUUUUUUCCCAAAAAUAUGGUAUAAAAAAAACUUGUAUUUAAUGUUGUACUUAUAUAUAUAUAUAGGGAGCCUUUCCAUAGCAACCGGUUGCCAUAAGAACUGUGCAACAACCCCUUUUUGGACCGUUGAUAAACUUAUUGGAAGGCUGAGAUUGAAACAUAAAUAUACUAAGCCGGCACAACUUGUACCGGCUUUUAUUUUAAUAUGAGGACCCCACCAUAGUCAACAUGUUGUCAGUUUAUUGAAAUAAAAUGAAUUUUUAAUAUUAAAUAAUGCCCGACCGACACAGCUUAUACCGGCUGUGCCUUUUUUAUAAAAUACUCCCAGCCGCUACAAGCUCUUAUGGCUGUUAAAAAAAAAA